CACAUGCAAGUCGAGGGGAAACGACAUCGAAAGCUUGCUUUUGAUGGGCGUCGACCGGCGCACGGGUGAGUAACGCGUAUCCAACCUGCCCACCACUUGGGGAUAACCUUGCGAAAGUAAGACUAAUACCCAAUGAUAUCUCUAGAAGACAUCUGAAAGAGAUUAAAGACUUAUCGGUGAUGGAUGGGGAUGCGUCUGAUUAGCUUGUUGGCGGGGUAACGGCCCACCAAGGCGACGAUCAGUAGGGGUUCUGAGAGGAAGGUCCCCCACAUUGGAACUGAGACACGGUCCAAACUCCUACGGGAGGCAGCAGUGAGGAAUAUUGGUCAAUGGGCGAGAGCCUGAACCAGCCAAGUAGCGUGCAGGAUGACGGCCCUAUGGGUUGUAAACUGCUUUUAUAAGGGAAUAAAGUGAGUCUCGUGAGACUUUUUGCAUGUACCUUAUGAAUAAGGACCGGCUAAUUCCGUGCCAGCAGCCGCGGUAAUACGGAAGGUCCGGGCGUUAUCCGGAUUUAUUGGGUUUAAAGGGAGCGUAGGCCGGAGAUUAAGCGUGUUGUGAAAUGUAGACGCUCAACGUCUGCACUGCAGCGCGAACUGGUUUCCUUGAGUACGCACAAAGUGGGCGGAAUUCGUGGUGUAGCGGUGAAAUGCUUAGAUAUCACGAAGAACUCCGAUUGCGAAGGCAGCUCACUGGAGCGCAACUGACGCUGAAGCUCGAAAGUGCGGGUAUCGAACAGGAUUAGAUACCCUGGUAGUCCGCACGGUAAACGAUGGAUGCCCGCUGUUGGUCUGAAUAGGUCAGCGGCCAAGCGAAAGCAUUAAGCAUCCCACCUGGGGAGUACGCCGGCAACGGUGAAACUCAAAGGAAUUGACGGGGGCCCGCACAAGCGGAGGAACAUGUGGUUUAAUUCGAUGAUACGCGAGGAACC
This 928-nucleotide ribosomal RNA is filed under the name uncultured bacterium. RNAcentral's name for it is "bacterial SSU rRNA". It matches the Rfam family "Bacterial small subunit ribosomal RNA", at positions 52 to 970 of the family's 1533-position model. The record is from RNAcentral.